This is a non-coding RNA of Callithrix jacchus (white-tufted-ear marmoset), 867 nucleotides long. The record is from RefSeq and is a predicted model, not a curated record. Lineage: Eukaryota; Metazoa; Chordata; Mammalia; Primates; Cebidae.
UUGGCUUCUAAAUGGAACAGCACAUCUACAAAAGGAAAAGUGAUGGCAUCUACAUCAGAAAUCUGAAAAGGACCUGGGAGAAACUUCUAAGGGCAGCUCGUGCCAUUGCUGCCAUUGAAAACCCCACUGAUGUCAGCGUCAUAUCUUCCAGGAAUACUGGCCAGAGAGUGGUGCUGAAAUUUGCUGCUGCCACUGGAGCCACCCCAGUUGUUGCUGCUUCACUCCUGGGACCUUCACCAACCAGAUCCAGGCAGCCUCCCAGGUGCUACGGCUUCUUGCGUUUACUGACCCCAGGGUUGACCAUCAGCCUCACACAGAGGCAUCUUAUGUUGACCUUCCCACCAUUGCUCUGUGUCACACAGAUUCUCCUCUGCGCUAUGUGAACAUUGCCAUCCCAUGCAACAACAUGGGAGCUCACUCAACGGGUUUAAUGUGGUGGAUGAUGGCCAGGGAAGUUUUGCGCAUGUGUGGUACCAUUUCCCAUGAACACCCGUGGGAGGUCAUUCCUCAUCUCUACUUCUACAGAGAUCCUGAAGAGACCGAAAAAGAAGAGCAGGCUGCUGCUGAAAAGCCUGUGACCAAAGAGGAAUUUCUGGGUGAAUGGACUGCUCCAGCUUCUGAAUUCACUGCUACCCAGCCUGAGGUUGCAGACUGGUCUGACGGCGUGCAGGUGCCCUCUGUGCCUAUUCAGCAGUUCCCUACUGAAGACUGGAGCACCCAGCCUGCCACGGAAGACUGGUCUGCAGCUCCCACUGCUCAGUCCACUGAAUGGGUCAGGGCAACCACUGAAUGGUCUUAAGCUGUUCUUGUACCGGCUCUUAAGCAACAUGGAAGUAAGGUUGAUGGAAAAUAAACAUCAGUUUCUAA